UCCGGUAUGGUGUAUCGGCUAGCAUCGCCCGCUUUCACCGCUCCCUUCUUCAGGGCAUCGAUUCCGGGCAGAGCCGGGUUCGACUCCCGGUACCGGAA
RNAcentral lists this transfer RNA (98 nucleotides) under Friedmanniomyces endolithicus. RNAcentral describes it as "tRNA-Glu". Lineage: Eukaryota; Fungi; Ascomycota; Dothideomycetes; Mycosphaerellales; Teratosphaeriaceae. The record is from RNAcentral.